Paramuricea clavata is the source of this 240-nucleotide non-coding RNA. NCBI's taxonomy places the organism in Eukaryota, Metazoa, Cnidaria, Anthozoa, Malacalcyonacea, Plexauridae. The record is from the annotation of a GenBank genome assembly.
CUCGUUUCUAAUUGGUCAGAAAGCACCGGCUAAUUUUCAGUAUUCGGCAUUUAUUACGUAUUUUCCGCCGAUGACGUCAUCAGCGUCCAAUAUUUGUUUUUUUGGAUCGAACUUGCAUCCAAAAAAAAAAAUUAUUGGACUCUCUCGUGCCCAAACCCUUGCGCGGCCAAAAGCUUGAACCUAUAAGCGCGGGAAAAAAAACAAACAAUGGCCUACAGCAGAUUUGCUUCGCUGAAUGAA